GCGUUUACUUUGGCAGCACAUGUAUUAAAAUUGGAGCAAUACAAAGGAGAUUAGCAUGGCCCCAGCACAAGGAUGACACGCAAAUUCAUGUCAUAAAAAACAUUCCA
This is a small nuclear RNA of Acomys russatus (golden spiny mouse), 107 nucleotides long. NCBI's taxonomy places the organism in Eukaryota, Metazoa, Chordata, Mammalia, Rodentia, Muridae. The record is from RefSeq and is a predicted model, not a curated record.